This 454-nucleotide ribosomal RNA is filed under the name uncultured bacterium. RNAcentral's name for it is "bacterial SSU rRNA". It matches the Rfam family "Bacterial small subunit ribosomal RNA", at positions 29 to 526 of the family's 1533-position model. The record is from RNAcentral.
AGCGAACGCUGGCGGCAGGCUUAAUACAUGCAAGUCGAGCGCCUGUAGCAAUACAGGAGCGGCAGACGGGAGAGUAACACGUGGGAACGUGCCCUUUGGUUCGGAACAACACAGGGAAACUUGUGCUAAUACCGGAUAAGCCCUUACGGGGAAAGAUUUAUCGCCAAAGGAUCGGCCCGCGUCUGAUUAGCUAGUUGGUGGGGUAAUGGCCCACCAAGGCGACGAUCAGUAGCUGGUCUGAGAGGAUGAUCAGCCUCAUUGGGACUGAGACACGGCCCAAACUCCUACGGGAGGCAGCAGUAGGGAAUAUUGGACAAUGGGGGCAACCCUGAUCCAGCCAUGCCGCGUGAGUGAUGAAGGCCUUAGGGUUGUAAAGCUCUUUCGGCGGGGAAGAUAAUGACGGUACCCGCAUAAGAAGCCCCGGCUAACUUCGUGCCAGCCGCCGCAGUAACAC